This 414-nucleotide ribosomal RNA is filed under the name Enterobacter sp. 108(2012). Its description in RNAcentral is "bacterial SSU rRNA". It matches the Rfam family "Bacterial small subunit ribosomal RNA", at positions 979 to 1393 of the family's 1533-position model. The record is from RNAcentral. Lineage: Bacteria; Pseudomonadati; Pseudomonadota; Gammaproteobacteria; Enterobacterales; Enterobacteriaceae.
GGGUGUGAUCCAGAGAACUUUCCAGAGAUGGAUUGGUGCCUUCGGGAACUCUGAGACAGGUGCUGCAUGGUGUCGUCAGCUCGUGUUGUGAAAUGUUGGGUUAAGUCCCGCAACGAGCGCAACCCUUAUCCUUUGUUGCCAGCGUUCGGCCGGGAACUCAAAGGAGACUGCCAGUGAUAAACUGGAGGAAGGUGGGGAUGACGUCAAGUCUUCUGGCCCUUACGAGUAGGGCUACACACGUGCUACAAUGGCGCAUACAAAGAGAAGCGACCUCGCGAGACCAGGCGGACCUCAUAAAGUGCGUCGUAGUCCGGAUUUGGAGUCUGCAACUCGACUCCAUGAAGUCGGAAUCGCUAGUUAAUCGUAGAUCAGAAUGCUACGGUGAAUACGGUCCCGGGUCUGUGAACACACGGA